Molecule: long non-coding RNA, 488 nt
Filed under: Rattus norvegicus (Norway rat)
Lineage: Eukaryota; Metazoa; Chordata; Mammalia; Rodentia; Muridae
Description: long non-coding RNA NONRATT013166
Source: RNAcentral
CGCGGCUCGGCCGACAGACAAAGCGGCCCGCUGAGUCCGUGAACAGGCACAAAACGAAAGUCGGCCUCGGGGCCGGGAGGGAAGGCAGCGGAGGCGCCGCGGGCUCUGUCCCCACGCGCACCGACCCCCUUCUCCCGACGCCCUGCAAGCGGACGCCGCGCAGAACAAGGCCAGCUCCGUGCAGCGCGCGGCGGUGGCGCGGCCACCCUGCUCCCAGAGCCCAGUGGCAGCGGCGGGAAGGGCGCCCGCGGAGAGGCUCACAAGCCCGGGGCCCAGCGCCCCGCCGGGGACUAGCGCGGUCCGCGCGCGGAGGAGCACGGCGCCGGCGCGGAGGGAAACGCCGGUGUAGUGCGGCCAGCCCUGCACUUAUAAGCCCGCGGCUCCGGGAGCUGCAGCCGUAGACCGAGCGCGGGGUGCUUAUUGGUCAGCCUCCUGCCUUCUGUGAGCCUCGGGAUCAGACAUUUGCACUCCAGUGCCCCGGCGGCCGC